This 934-nucleotide ribosomal RNA is filed under the name archaeon enrichment culture clone PW45.1. RNAcentral describes it as "bacterial SSU rRNA". It matches the Rfam family "Archaeal small subunit ribosomal RNA", at positions 1 to 922 of the family's 1478-position model. The record is from RNAcentral.
UUCCGGUUGAUCCUGCCAGAGGCCGCUGCUAUCCGGCUGGGACUAAGCCAUGCGAGUCAAGGGGCUUGUAUCCCUUCGGGGAUGCAAGCACCGGCGGACGGCUCAGUAACACGUGGACAACCUGCCCUCGGGUGGGGGAUAACCCCGGGAAACUGGGGCUAAUCCCCCAUAGGGGAUGGGUACUGGAAUGUCUCAUCUCCGAAAGCGCUUAGCGCCCGAGGAUGGGUCUGCGGCGGAUUAGGUUGUUGGUGGGGUAACGGCCCACCAAGCCGAAGAUCCGUACGGGCCAUGAGAGUGGGAGCCCGGAGAUGGACCCUGAGACACGGGUCCAGGCCCUACGGGGCGCAGCAGGCGCGAAACCUCCGCAAUGCGGGAAACCGCGACGGGGUCAGCCGGAGUGCUCGCGCAUCGCGCGGGCUGUCGGGGUGCCUAAAAAGCACCCCACAGCAAGGGCCGGGCAAGGCCGGUGGCAGCCGCCGCGGUAAUACCGGCGGCCCGAGUGGCGGCCACUUUUAUUGGGCCUAAAGCGUCCGUAGCCGGGCUGGCAAGUCCUCAGGGAAAUCUGGCGGCUUAACCGUCAGACUGCCGGAGGAUACUGCCAGCCUAGGGACCGGGAGAGGCCGAGGGUAUUCCCGGAGUAGGGGUGAAAUCCUGUAAUCCCGGGAGGACCACCUGUGGCGAAGGCGCCCGGCUGGAACGGGUCCGACGGUGAGGGACGAAGGCCUGGGGAGCGAACCGGAUUAGAUACCCGGGUAGUCCUGGCUGUAAACGAUGCGGACUAGGUGUCACCGAAGCUACGAGCUUCGGUGGUGCCGGAGGGAAGCCGUUAAGUCCGCCGCCUGGGGAGUACGGCCGCAAGGCUGAAACUUAAAGGAAUUGGCGGGGGAGCACUACAACGGGUGGAGCCUGCGGUUUAAUUGGAUUCAACGCCGGG